Molecule: ribosomal RNA, 512 nt
Filed under: uncultured Actinomycetes bacterium
Lineage: Bacteria; Bacillati; Actinomycetota; Actinomycetes
Description: bacterial SSU rRNA
Rfam family: Bacterial small subunit ribosomal RNA
Source: RNAcentral
UGGGGAAUCUUGCGCAAUGCGCGAAAGCGUGACGCAGCAACGCCGCGUGGGGGAAGAAGGCCUUCGGGUUGUAAACCCCUUUCAGUUGGGACGAAGCUUCGCCGGUGAACAGCCGGCUGGAGUGACGGUACCUUCACAAGAAGCCCCGGCUAACUACGUGCCAGCAGCCGCGGUAAUACGUAGGGGGCUAGCGUUGUCCGGAAUCAUUGGGCGUAAAGCGCGAGUAGGCGGCCCGGUAAGUCCGCUGUGAAAGUCGGGGGCUCAACCCUCGAAUGCCGGUGGAUACUGUUGGGCUUGAGUACGGAAGAGGCGAGUGGAGUUCCUGGUGUAGCGGUGAAAUGCGCAGAUAUCAGGAGGAACACCGAUUGCGAAGGCAGCUCGCUGGGACGUAACUGACGCUGAGACGCGAAAGCGUGGGGAGCAAACAGGAUUAGAUACCCUGGUAGUCCACGCUGUAAACGAUGGGCACUAGGUGUGGGGGGUGUCGGACUCCCUCCGUGCCGAAGUUAACG